CCCUUAGAUGUUCUGGGCCGCACACGCGCUACACUGAAGGAGGCAGCGUGUACUCCUGGAUCGAAAGAUUUGGGUAACCCGCGAAUCUCCUUCGUGCUAGGGAUUGAGGUUUGCAAUUAUCCUUCAUGAACGAGGAAUUCCCAGUAAGUGCAAGUCAUAAGCUUGCGCUGACUACGUCCCUGCCCUUUGUACACACCGCCCGGCGCUACUACCGAUUGAAUGAUUUAGUGAGGACUUCGGACUGGGACCGAUGCGGCUUUCGGGCUGCGUCGGUAUUCUGGAAAGAUGUCCAAACUGUAUCAUUUAGAGGAAGUAAAAGUCGUAACA
RNAcentral lists this ribosomal RNA (327 nucleotides) under uncultured eukaryote. RNAcentral's name for it is "partial 18S ribosomal RNA". It matches the Rfam family "Eukaryotic small subunit ribosomal RNA", at positions 1470 to 1796 of the family's 1831-position model. The record is from RNAcentral.